RNAcentral lists this long non-coding RNA (420 nucleotides) under Sus scrofa (pig). RNAcentral's name for it is "lncRNA (ENSSSCG00070003393.1)". The record is from RNAcentral. Lineage: Eukaryota; Metazoa; Chordata; Mammalia; Artiodactyla; Suidae.
AUGGCUCGUUUCCUACGAGUGGGUGAAGACUGUCCUCCUUUCAUGGACGGGCAGGGCAGCGCAGCACUCCCCCGUGCCAGUGACCUCUCCCACAGGGACCUGCCUGCCCCAGGAACACGUAAGGAAACCAUGAUCAUUCCGUCUUCACAGGAUGGCAGCUGUGCAGCAGAGUUCUGCAGAGUCCUGUGCAUUGUGAAAACGUAUACUGAAGACACCUCAUUAGCAAAUGUAGUUCAUCAAUACAGUGCGGGUAAGUGUUCACUCACUAUUUCAGGCGAGAGCUUGGUGAUCCCACUGCUUCCUGGAUCAUCACAGCGGCUGAGAUGCUCAGGUAAAAGCCUGUGCUAUCCUGGAAGGAAAAGCCAGUCGUUACUCACUGAGGUUUCUAAUGUAAUCAUUUUAUACUUCUUUACUGUUUAG